This 533-nucleotide ribosomal RNA is filed under the name Bifidobacterium pseudocatenulatum. RNAcentral's name for it is "bacterial SSU rRNA". It matches the Rfam family "Bacterial small subunit ribosomal RNA", at positions 158 to 703 of the family's 1533-position model. The record is from RNAcentral. Lineage: Bacteria; Bacillati; Actinomycetota; Actinomycetes; Bifidobacteriales; Bifidobacteriaceae.
GGGUGGUAAUGCCGGAUGCUCCGACUCCUCGCAUGGGGUGUCGGGAAAGAUUUCAUCGGUAUGGGAUGGGGUCGCGUCCUAUCAGGUAGUCGGCGGGGUAACGGCCCACCGAGCCUACGACGGGUAGCCGGCCUGAGAGGGCGACCGGCCACAUUGGGACUGAGAUACGGCCCAGACUCCUACGGGAGGCAGCAGUGGGGAAUAUUGCACAAUGGGCGCAAGCCUGAUGCAGCGACGCCGCGUGCGGGAUGACGGCCUUCGGGUUGUAAACCGCUUUUGAUCGGGAGCAAGCCUUCGGGUGAGUGUACCUUUCGAAUAAGCACCGGCUAACUACGUGCCAGCAGCCGCGGUAAUACGUAGGGUGCAAGCGUUAUCCGGAAUUAUUGGGCGUAAAGGGCUCGUAGGCGGUUCGUCGCGUCCGGUGUGAAAGUCCAUCGCUUAACGGUGGAUCUGCGCCGGGUACGGGCGGGCUGGAGUGCGGUAGGGGAGACUGGAAUUCCCGGUGUAACGGUGGAAUGUGUAGAUAUCGGAAA